RNAcentral lists this ribosomal RNA (492 nucleotides) under uncultured bacterium. Its description in RNAcentral is "partial 16S ribosomal RNA". It matches the Rfam family "Bacterial small subunit ribosomal RNA", at positions 29 to 507 of the family's 1533-position model. The record is from RNAcentral.
AGUGAACGCUGGCGGUAGGCCUAACACAUGCAAGUCGAACGGCAGCACAGUAAGAGCUUGCUCUUACGGGUGGCGAGUGGCGGACGGGGGAGGAAUACAUCGGAAUCUACUUUUUCGUGGGGGAUAACGUAGGGAAACUUACGCUAAUACCGCAUACGACCUACGGGUGAAAGCAGGGGAUCUUCGGACUUUGCGCGAUUGAAUGAGCCGAUGUCGGAUUAGCUAGUUGGCGGGGUAAAGGCCCACCAAGGCGACGAUCCGUAGCUGGUCUGAGAGGAUGAUCAGCCACACUGGAACUGAGACACGGUCCAGACUCCUACGGGAGGCAGCAGUGGGGAAUAUUGGACAAAGGGCGCAAGCCUGAUCCAGCCAUACCGCGUGGGUGAAGAAGGCCUUCGGGUUGUAAAGCCCUUUUGUUGGGAAAGAAAAGCAGCAGGUUAAUACCCCGCUGUUCUGACGGUACCCAAAGAAUAAGCACCGGCUAACUUCGUG